GGGGCUGUAGCUCAGUUGGGAGAGCGCUUGAAUGGCAUUCAAGAGGUCGACAGUUCGAUCCUGUUCAGCUCCACCA
This 76-nucleotide transfer RNA is filed under the name Geobacter sp. RNAcentral describes it as "tRNA-Ala". It matches the Rfam family "tRNA". From Rfam's summary of the family: Transfer RNA (tRNA) molecules are approximately 80 nucleotides in length. Their secondary structure includes four short double-helical elements and three loops (D, anti-codon, and T loops). Lineage: Bacteria; Pseudomonadati; Thermodesulfobacteriota; Desulfuromonadia; Geobacterales; Geobacteraceae. RNAcentral also lists the same sequence under 23 other names. The record is from RNAcentral.